RNAcentral lists this ribosomal RNA (410 nucleotides) under uncultured bacterium. RNAcentral describes it as "bacterial SSU rRNA". It matches the Rfam family "Bacterial small subunit ribosomal RNA", at positions 29 to 426 of the family's 1533-position model. The record is from RNAcentral.
AACGAACGCUGGCGGCGUGCCUAACACAUGCAAGUCGAGCGCGAAUGGAGCAAUCCUAGUAGAGCGGCGCACGGGUGCGUAACACGUGGGUAAUCUGCCUAGAAGAUGAGGAUAACCAGUCGAAAGACUGGCUAAUACUCGAUAAGCCCACGGGGACUUCGGUCCCUGAGGGAAAAGGUGGCCUCUGUAUACAAGCUAUCACUUCUAGAUGAGCCCGCGGCCCAUCAGCUAGUUGGCGGGGUAAUGGCCCACCAAGGCGACGACGGGUAGCUGGUCUGAGAGGACGAUCAGCCACACUGGAACUGAGACACGGUCCAGACUCCUACGGGAGGCAGCAGUGGGGAAUUUUCCACAAUGGGCGAAAGCCUGAUGGAGCAACGCCGCGUGCAGGAUGAAUGCCUUCGGGUUGU